Long non-coding RNA from Rhododendron vialii, 445 nucleotides. RefSeq lists it as uncharacterized. The record is from RefSeq and is a predicted model, not a curated record. The transcript is spliced from 3 exons. NCBI's taxonomy places the organism in Eukaryota, Viridiplantae, Streptophyta, Magnoliopsida, Ericales, Ericaceae.
CCCACCGCAUACCUUUCUCCCUCCGACCCACCACACCACCACAAGCCCUCAGAAAUCGAAUCCCAGUUGCUCCUCUCUGGCGAUCCCAAUUGGACACCACUAACACCACCGACCAGCCUGACGAGUCACCACUAGAACCACCAUCGUUCAAGACUCUUAGGGUUCGAAUCGAUGGUAUGUAGUUCUUCACCCCAAAAUAAUCUUCGGCAGCUUUGGCCCCUCACUUGAAGCCAAUUUCUACCAAAAUCUUAUGAACUCGAGUUUUCGAACGCAGAAUUCAAGCUAUGAAUUUGCCACUUUUGGCUUGCAAAAAUCGGUACCAAGCCACAAUUACUUCUGAAUGCAUCACACAGGUUUACCUUGGGAAAAGCUGUAAGUAGAUUGAAAUAGUUGUUGUGAAUUGGAUUACUUAUUCGACAUGAGGUUUUCAAAAUUAAGUCUUUCA